Molecule: transfer RNA, 74 nt
Filed under: Actinospineispora eucalypti
Lineage: Bacteria; Bacillati; Actinomycetota; Actinomycetes; Pseudonocardiales; Pseudonocardiaceae
Description: Pseudonocardia eucalypti tRNA-Leu
Rfam family: tRNA
About the family: Transfer RNA (tRNA) molecules are approximately 80 nucleotides in length.
Source: RNAcentral
GCCCCCGUAGCCCAAUCGGCAGAGGCAAGCCCCUUAAAAGGGCCUCAGUGUGGGUUCGAGUCCCACCGGGGGCA